CAGCAGCCGCGGGAAUACGGAGGGUGCAAGCGUUAUCCGGAUUUAUUGGGUUUAAAGGGUCCGUAGGCGGAUCUGUAAGUCAGUGGUGAAAUCUCACAGCUUAACUGUGAAACUGCCAUUGAUACUGCAGGUCUUGAGUAAAUUUGAAGUGGCUGGAAUAAGUAGUGUAGCGGUGAAAUGCAUAGAUAUUACUUAGAACACCAAUUGCGAAGGCAGGUCACUAAGAUUUAACUGACGCUGAUGGACGAAAGCGUGGGGAGCGAACAGGAUUAGAUACCCCUGUAGUCCCUGUCUCUUAUAA
This 301-nucleotide ribosomal RNA is filed under the name uncultured bacterium. RNAcentral's name for it is "partial 16S ribosomal RNA". It matches the Rfam family "Bacterial small subunit ribosomal RNA", at positions 509 to 809 of the family's 1533-position model. The record is from RNAcentral.